Leptonychotes weddellii (Weddell seal) is the source of this 849-nucleotide long non-coding RNA. RefSeq lists it as uncharacterized. NCBI's taxonomy places the organism in Eukaryota, Metazoa, Chordata, Mammalia, Carnivora, Phocidae. The record is from RefSeq and is a predicted model, not a curated record.
GCGCGCGCGCAGCCGCAGUGGUGAGCAGGAAGUGUGCGGCUGUGGGCUUCUGGCUCGGAUACUCUCGCGCUUCCUUUUCCCUAGUCUGUCCCACGGAGGGGAUUUGGAUACUUUCCAGUUGGGACUACUAUAAAUUGUGCUGCGAUGAACACUCUUCUGUAUGAUUUUUGGUGAACACAAGAACAGACAUCCCUCAGGAAUAUAUCUAGCAGUGGAACUGUUGGAUCAUAGGGUAUAUAUGCACUUAGAUACUAGAUAGUAGAUACUGCCAAACAGUUUAUUUGGUACCAGUUGUGUAUAAGAGUUCUUGUUGCUCCACAUCUUUAUCAAUAUUUGAUAUUUUUUGUGCUUUUCAUCUUGGCCAUCCUGGUGCUGCUUUUCUCCACCAGAAGGGUAACCGCUAAGUGGACCUGCGUCUCUGGUGCCCGGCGUGGGGCUUGCGGCUUCGUGAGCUCAGUGAAAGUUUGUGAGGUGAAGAACGGAUAGAUGGAUGGAUUUGCUGGCCCGUGGACUCACUGGUACCUUGUACCUGCACAGCUGAGGCUCGUUGCACCCUCAGGGGACGUGGGAGCACCUAUGCUUGGGCCAGGACUUCUGAGCUGCCCUGCUCCCUACCUUGAACCUCUGGAUUGGCGGUGGCUCCGUGCUGGACCCAGUGAGGGACGCCACCCGUAGACUUCUGCUGUUAGGGCUCUCGGCGUAGGUGAGAGCCAGAAGACGGUGAAAAUCUUGGAAGGUGAUCUUGUCCAGCUUACUGCUUCCAGGCAGGCCUGGACUGAGAACGGUCUGCCUUUUCCUUUGGAAGUCUCUGGAGGGGUGCCUGAGUGGCGCAGGCGAUUAAGCGUCUGA